This is a long non-coding RNA of Monodelphis domestica (gray short-tailed opossum), 1914 nucleotides long. The record is from Ensembl. Lineage: Eukaryota; Metazoa; Chordata; Mammalia; Didelphimorphia; Didelphidae.
AUGAGGAAAGCAGGUGGUCUUAUGUUUUCCAAGGCUGGAGGACCAGGCUGCCCUGAGUUUCUCCUCCACAACCUGAAGAUAGCUUCCUACAUCUGCUCAGUUACCUCCCUACUGGGCAUUCCAUCUGUUUCCCAUGAACAAGAAUUGCAGCAUCAUUUUAAGGAGUUUCCAAGUGCAAUGCCAAGAUCAUCAAAAUCUAGUGGCAAGACAAAAGUCAAGAUGAAUGGUGAUGGCCCAAGAUGCAGUGAAUGACCUUGGCAUUUUCCAUGUCUGACCACUCCAUUAGCACCUGCUUCCACUGCUUUCAUGGCCAUUGGAACAAAUUGCUUUCAUCCACCCUUCUCAGGGGGAAGUUUCCACAUAUCUGGGAUAGGUAACCUCACUGAUAGGUUUGAGACCUGUUGUCCACCAAUUUCUAUGUACUCUCUUCCUUUAUCACUUGGCCUGGCUCAUAGUCCUUUCCUCCCUGCCUCUCAACCUCACACUAAAGGCCUUCAACACAUAUAUUGAUAUUCCUUCAGACUCUAAACUGUCAAUUCUUCAAUCUACUAAUUUCCUAUAACUUACUCUUCUGUCCUACCCCAGCUACACACAGAAAUGAUAAUACUGAUCAUAAUAACAUCAUAAUUCACAACUAUUCUGCAUUUAUGUUAAUGAACUCUGAAAUUCAUUUAUCUGAUGACAAUGUUUUUAUUUCACUUAUUGCUCUUUCUUGCAUCCUCUACUCCUCAGUCAUAACAUGACCUCUAAUAUUCCUAUUCCUUAGCUAUUUUCCAAGCCUUAGCCCCAUUUGUGUCUUCUGAAUUUCUUACAUUUAUUGAGUUUUUAGUUCUCUAAAAACUGACUUCCUUUUUGUUAUCUUUUUAUUUAUAUUGUUUUAGUCAUAUAUAUUAUUCUUUUGGUUCCACUUAUUUCCCUCUGAAUCAAUUCAUGCAACUCUUGUAUUUUUCUGAAUUCUUCAUAUUCAUUAUUCAUUACUAUAUGAUAAUAUUUCAUCAUAUUAGUAUGCCAAAAGUUGCUUUAAAAAAAACUCAUUCCUAAAUCAAUGGACACCAGCUCUGUUUCUUUACUACAACAAAACAUGCUCUCUUCUGUCCUCCAACUUGACCCUCUGGUGAAGCAGUUCAACUCUAACCUGGCCUCUUCUCUUGAGUUUCUUGCCACUUUAUGCUAUAGAAGACCUUUCCCUACAAAGCCUCAGCCUUGGAUUACUCCUGCCAUCUUCUGCCUUUCUCCUUGUCAUAGUAAUCCACUAUAUAUGCGUCAAUGAUCCCAUUCUAUCUUGUUGUCUUCAUUAGAUCAGCCCCUCUAUUAUUCCUACUAUUUUACUAAUAUUCAAUCACUCUGUAUUCACUAUUUCCCUAGGAUCUACAAAUAUGACCACAUCAUCUCCAUACUCAAAAACCCCCUCAUUUCAUCUUUGCAUUUCCAUUGCCUAUCAUCCCAUAGCUAGCCUCUCUUAUGUGACUAAAUACUUUGAGAAGGCCAUCUAUAAUAGGUGCUUCCACUUCCUUUCCUCUCUAUCUCUUCAUAAAUCCUUAGAGUCUAUCUUCCACACUAAUUCAAUGAAACUACUCUCUCCAAAGUUACUAAUGAUUUUAUAAUCAACAAAUCGAAUGGCCUUUCCUUCUUUGUGACUCUUCACAUCAUUGAACACCCUCUUCUUGAAACUAUUUAAGAUUUUGCCACAAUACCAACUUCUGGUUCUCCUCCUAUCUAUAUGACCACUCCUCUGUCUCCUCUGCUCUGUUUCAUGCUCACUAACAAUAAGUAUCCCCCAAGACUCCUUCCUCUUUUUCAUCUAUAUAAUUUUAUAUGGUCAUCUCACCAGAUCUCAUUGUUCCAUAAUUAUUUAUGUGUGGAUGAUUCUCAGAUCUGUUGUUAGCCUAAUAAACUACUAGAGUUGACUCUCCA